Long non-coding RNA from Mobula hypostoma (lesser devil ray), 7261 nucleotides. RefSeq lists it as uncharacterized. Lineage: Eukaryota; Metazoa; Chordata; Chondrichthyes; Myliobatiformes; Myliobatidae. The record is from RefSeq and is a predicted model, not a curated record. The transcript has 5 exons.
AAGGGAUCACGGCGCCUCCUCGCUCACAACGCGUCCUUUAUACCCCGAAAAAAAACUUCUGUACCUUUAAUAUGAUUAAUUCUUUAGGAUUUUUCUCUAAUUGACUCGGACGUUGCUGAGCGGGACUGCGUGAUCUCCGUCGCUUUGUUUUUUCUAGAACUGCCUGGACGCUUGGGUUGAUUUAAGUGCCUGGAAUUGGUCUUUUUCCAAAACAACCGAUUGCUAAUAGACCCCCUCCCUCUAAAACGGUCCAUCUAAAGCAGUAAAGCCAAACCGAAACCGGCUGCUUCAUCCCUCAAAUAAAUAAAUACAUAUUUUGCCCACAAAAAUCAUCAGAUGAGUGUCUGGAUCUAGAUAAAAGUGUGUCCGAAAUUAUUUGCAUCGUGAAGGGUUCGAGUCUCCGCUGGACACAGGAAGUUGUGAAUCUUGGCGGAACCGAGUUGGAAACUACUGAGUGAGAUGAAUCUCUUUUUUUCUCUGGCAGGUGAACUGAAGGAGGGCUCGUCUCCUCCUCACCUGAUCUAUUUGCCUAUUGAAGAGAAUCAUUCAUUUCAUCGACCGUCAUCUGUUUGCUCGACCGAUAGUGUAAACUGAUAAAAGAUAGUCUUUUGCGAGAGCGAGAGGCUGAUAUAAAUAUUCAGAAACCAGGGAAGUACUUUCGAUUUGCAAUUUAACUUUCGCCCAGUCUUAUGGUUAACUUUAUGGGCCUAUCGAUAUCGCCGAGCUGACGGAAAGUGCGGUGGAAUGCGAUCCGCGCCUUUUAAACCCCCGAGCGAGUAAUACCCUGCCCUGCGCAACUUCGCCCCUUUGCUCCGGUUGCAUUUCCUAUGGUUUGCAGCUGUAAGCACACAAGAAGAUGCAACCUGACAACUUAUCGUGAGUAGCUUUAUUGGAAUCCCAUUAGGAGCAAAGCUAAGUAAAAAGCUUCAGGUUUGACAUAUAACUCCAAGACAGUAAAGAUUUUCUUACAAGUGACUGGAGGAGUCUCGGGAUGGUGGAAUGAUUUGGGGGUAUCAAGAGGUGAGUCACAUGUCACAGAGUACCCUGUUUCCAAUCUACUCUGGUACUUGUUACAUUUAAGUGACUUCGUCCAGUUGCAUUUCUUGGAAAUUACGACCCAAAAGGAAUGGGAGACUCUAUGACAGUAAAGUCAUUAAAGGUCAAGGUUAACCUUGUUAGACCUUCUUUUGUAAGACAUGGUCAAUAUCUGACUCUCUUGCACCAUGAAUAUAACUGGACAAUGCUGGAGAACCAAUGCCUGAAUAUUUUCUAGUUCUAAAUGCAAACAGGCAUAAAUAUCUGCUAAAUAGUAGUCAGUACAAUUGACAAAUAUUGCAAUUAUGCAAUAUCAGCAAACCAUCCCACUUUUCAUCUUAUGAUGCAAAGAAGGUCCCGAUGAUAUGCUGGACCAGGAGAAUACAAAUUGCGCUGGUGUAUAUCUCUGCUGCUACUGAUGGUCCACGGUGCUGUUGUGGUGAUAGGAAAGAAUGUAACCAGGGAUUUGGAUGGAGGAGACUGACAUAUUGUGCGUCAGGUAAGAUUCAGCCUGUUCCUUAAUGGGCUGUGGGACACCUCUCACAAUUUAGACCUCAGGGCUUUGCAAGACCAGCUGGGCUUGAAGUGACUUUGUCAUGCCCAUCCAGUUUUAUUAUUUCUCUUUUCAAUUAGAAGCUGAUUGCUUGUUGGGCCAUGGGCCAUUUAAGACUCAAUCACACGGGAGAUAUCUGAAAUUACACAUAAGCCUGUCUUGGUAGGGAUAGCAGUUUUCCUCCUCAUCUUCAUUAACCUAUGACAAUCCGGUAGUGUUUUGUGGCCAUCAUUAUUAAUACCAGUUAUUGUUGCAGCAAAUUCCUGAUUAUUAACUGAAUUUAAAUCUCACAGUGACUAUAAUGUGAUUUGGACACAGGUCUUUGAACUGCUAGCUUUGAUACUCAACUACAACACCACUGCUAUGGGCUAAAAAGGAAAUAUUAUAUAAAUAUCAAAUAUAAGAAUCUUAAUAUAAUCCUAAGAGGAUAAUUUGAAAUUGGAAAGGGCUUUUGAGAUUAGUUACACUGUACUGGACAGAUCAGCUUAUGUUCACCUUUUUUUUUGGUUAAUGACCCCAGGUCCCACUCAAUUAUUCCGUAUCAAAUUUCUACUGUGUAUGUCCCAUUCAGAACAUCACUUUAUGCUACCAAUUUUACCUCUUCAAAUUAGCACUGUCAAUUCAAUCUGACUGGGACUGUAAUCAUGUUAUGAGUUACCACCAUGAAGUGGCCAGCUCUGUGUGUGCAUGCCAAUGUAGAAGAUCAAAACCAAAGCAAAAAAAAAGUACUUUUGUACUAAAGAGGAAAUCUAUUCAUGGCCAAUCAGAAAUGAAUGCUGAGAUCCCUUCCCAUUGACAGCCUGAAGAAUUUACCCCAAUUUGUUUGCUUUUCUGAAACUUCAUCCUAGAGCACCUGGAAACUUGCUGAUUAACCAUACUUAUUAUCUAUGUAACUCUUUGUUACUCUCUUUGUAAUGCUUAUGGAGACAAAAAUCACCGAGAGCCCUGUCAGUUGCAAUCACACUAUCAUGCCCCUGGAGCUUUGUCUCACAUUUUAGUAUCAAUUUGAUUAGCGGGCGAUUGGAAGAAUGCUGCUGAUAACGGUGACAUGAUGCUCCAACACCUGUACUCAGUACCCUGACCAUUGAAGGAAAAAACUUGCCAAAUGCCUUGGAGGAACAAGAGAUUGUGCAUGCUGGAAUUUGGAGUAAAAAACAAUGUGCUGGAGGACUCAAUACAUCAAGAAGCAUUUGAUCAACCUGCUGAGCUCCUCCAACCGAUCGUUUGAAUGUUAAAUGGCUUUUUCACCACCAUGGCCAGUGGUAACACCAUUUUCAAAGAAACGUGUACUUGCAGCCCUACAUAUGUCUAUUCUGCAACAUCCUCAAGGGCAAUACCAUUUACUAUCACAGUCCUGCUCUGGUUUGUCGUACCAAAGCACAGCACUUCACAUUUAUCUGAAUUAAACUUCAUUUGCCAUUUUUGGCCUACUGGCCCACCUGAUCAAAAUCCCAUUGAAAACUUCGAUGGCCUUCUUGUCUGUCCACUAUACACCAACGUUAGUGUUAUCUGGAAUCUAACUAGCCAUGGCACCUGCAUCCUUAUCCAAAUCUUUAAUGUAAACUGCAAACAACAAUGGUGACACAAGAGAAACUGUAGAUGCUGGAACUCCAGAGUAACACAAGUAAAAUACAGGAGGAACUCAGCAGGCCAGGCAGCAGCUCUGGAGGGAAAUGAGCAGUUUACUUUUCAAGGCAAGAAGGGUCUCAGCCCGAGCAACACACUGGCCACAGUUCUCCAAUCUGAAAAUCAGUGCUUUACCAUCAUCCUCUGUCUCCUAACAGCCAAUUUUGAAUCCAAUUGACUAGUUUGCCCUUGGAUCUCAUAUAAUCAAACCUUCUUUACCAGUCUACCAUGUGGUACCUUGAUAAUGGCCUUGCUGUCAUUCAUGUGGACAGCAUCUACUAUUCUGCCUUUUUACAUCUUGUUUGUUAUUUCAAAAAUCUCAAUCAAAUUUGUGAAACAUGAUUUCCUGUGCCCAGAGUCAUGCUGAUGAUCUCUAAUUACCCCGUGCCUCUGCAAAUACAUGUAACUCCUUUCUCUCAGAAUCUUUUCCAAUAGUUUGGCCACCAGUGAAGUUAGGCUCACUGGACUAUAGUUUCAAGGCUUUUCCUUGCAGUGCUUCUUCAAUGAAGGCACAACCUAGGCCUUCUGCAUUCUUUUGGCACCUUAUCUAGAAACAUAGAAACAUAGAAAAUAGGUGCAGGAGUAGGCCAUUCAGCCCUUCGAGCCUGCACCGCCAUUCAGUAUGAUCAUGGCUGAUCAUCCAACUCAGAACCUAUACCUGCCUUCUCUCCAUGCCCCCUGAUCCCUUUAGCCACAAGGGCCAUAUCUAACUCCCUCUUAAAUAUAGCCAAUGAACUGGCCUCAACUGUUUCCUGUGGCAGAGAAUUCCACGGAUUCAGCACUCUCUGUGUGAAGAAGUUUUUCCUCAUCUCGGUCCUAAAAGGCUUCCCCUUUAUCCUCAAACUGUGACCCCUCGUUCUGGACUUCCCCAACAUUAGGAAUAAUCUUCCUGCAUCUAGCCUGUCCAAUCCCUUUAGAAUUUUAUACGUUUCAAUCAGAUCCCCCCUCAAUCUUCUAAAUUCCAGAGAGUAUAAGCCUAGUCGAUCCAGUCUUUCAUCAUAUGAAAGUCCUGCCAGCCCAGGAAUCAAUCUGGUGAAAUUUCUUUGUAAUCCCUCUAUGGCAAAGAUGUCUUUCCUCAGAUUAGGGGACCAAAACUGCACACAAUACUCCAGGUGUGGCCUCACCAAGGCCUUGUACAACUGCAGUAGUACCUCCCUGCUCCUGUACUCGAAUCCUCUUGCUAUGAAUGCCAGAAUGCCAUUUGCCUUUUUCACUGCCUGCCGUACCUGCAUGCCCACUUUCAAUGACUGGUGUAUAAUGACACCCAGGUCUCGUUACACCUCCCCUUUUCCUAAUCGGCCACCAUUCAGAUAAUAAUCUGUUUUGCUGUUCUUAUAAUCUGUUUUGCUGUUCUUGUAUCUGUGACUAUUGAUGAUACAAAUAUCUCUGCUAGGGACCCCACAAUUUCCUUCUUAGCUUCCUAUAAUAUCCUAUCAGAUUCUGUUUCUUUAUAUAUUACUUUAUGCAUUUUAAGACCUCCACAACUUUCUCUUCUGCAAUGUGGAUGCUCUUCAAGAUAUCACCAUUAACUGUGGAGACACAACUGUUUAAGAUGGAAAAUUCUAGGCUUUAGACUCUGAAUACUUGAAGACACAACAAACAAUGGUUUGAGGGAAGCAUGGAAAUGGCAGAAUUAGAAGAAGUUCUCUAAAAGAGCAUGUAGAGAGGGAAGAAGAGUCAUCUAAGUUUAAGGGCAAAGGAAUGGAGAAACUUAAAAUAAAUAAAAUUCCAACAUGCCAUGGUAUCGAAGGAUACAGUUCAAGGCCUAGAAAAUUAACAUUGUAGUCCAGAGGGCGUGUUGCUCUGCUGUGUGACUCUAUGACAACAAUCAAAGUGGCUUUGGAUUCUUUAAGUACAGUACAAUGCUUGAGAACUGAUGCCGCAUUAAUUUAACUAAAAUUAGCUGAUGUGUUGUUAUUUUCGUUAUUAGUAUUUUUAGAAUUGUUAAAUCUGACAACACUCUGUCAUAGAGACUAAUCAUAAUAAUACACUUCACGUUUUUUCUACCUCAACUUUAGGUACUGAAGAUAUAAAUAUUAUUUAUUCCAUCCUCUGCUUCUUUUACUGAAUAGAUAUUUGUGUAACAUGAUAACAACUAAUGUAUGAAAGAGAGACAUUGACCCAAAGAGCUGCAGCAAAGAAAUAUAUAAACAUUUAAUAUGGUGAUCUAAAAAUCACUUAAAAGGCUAGUUCACAAAUGCACUUGUUACUGAAAAUUCAAUGUAUGCCUCAUCUGGAUUUUCUAAGUUCUUGUAAAAUGUGUAAAUGAGUUAUAAUAUGAUGUUUUUUGAGACAUAAAAGAUGUGAGUUUACAUUGUAUUGCAUGAUACACAUAAAUGACACUUCUUUCAUAAUUACACUCUACUCUUGAUAAUGUAAACUUUUAAGUAUUUAUUUAUUGAGAUAUUGCACAGAAUAGGCCCUUCUGGGCCUUCAAGCUGCACUGCCCAGCAAUUCUCCAAUUUAAUCCUAACCUAAUCAUGAGACUAUUUACAAUGCCCAAUUAACCUACCAACCGGUACGAAAUUGGACAGUGGGAGGAAACCAGAUCACUUGAAGGAAACCCACACGUUGAUGGAGAGAACAUAUUAACUCCUUACAGGCAGCGGUGGGAAGUGUAAUUAAUUUUACAGGAUAUAACUUCCUUUAUUGAUUGUAAACCAGCAACACAAAGGGAAACAUUUAAAAGUCUGUUUUAAAUUACAGGUGUGCAUUAUAGAUAUCAGUAAGAUCUUAAAUUUUCCUCUGAUUGAAGACAGUUUAAAGCUUUGACAAAUGCAGCAUCACUGUAAUCUCAAAUUUGGAAUAUUUGAUUUAUUUCAAGAAUGCUACAAUGUAUUUCCCCAUAAUAUACAGUUACCUAAUUCCAGUUUCAAAUAUAAAUAUGCAGAAAUUAACUGCACAGAUUUCUUAGUUAGUUUGUGGUGAUAACCUUGACUCCUGAUCCUGAUAUUAUGUUGUUCGAUAUCAUUUGACAAAAUGUAAUGGUUUGAAUGCAUUAGGCUGUAAGAAAAACUGAACAAGAUGAGCAAAAAGAAAUGACAGUUUCAAACCAACAUAAGUUAUAAUGUGUGUAUUUUUUUUUGUUCAAAGAUUUCAAGCACUUCCAAAUCUGCAUUGAUUUCUCAAUCAGAAGAAAGAGUGUAUUUAAAUUUUCUGCUUGGUUUCCAGUGAUAUUUCACAGUGACAAUCAUUAAAAGGUGUUGCUGAUAACAGAUCAUACAGUGCUCAAGUGGAGAGAUCUAUGCAAUGUAGUGCUAAGUGGUGCUUUUACUCACCUUUAUCACUGCUAGCCAUAUUAAAAAUUGAAUUAGAUACAAGUAAUAGUUCAGUCUACAUGCAAGGGAACCAUUAUCACCCAUUCAUACACUAUCAGCACAAUAAUUUUACCUGGUGGCGCUUUUUCAGUUGGAAGCACAGCAAACCUCACAAAUUAUUUCAGCAUGAACGUUCAGUGUGAAUAUACAUAUACACAUAUGGGGGCUAGAUAUGCUAUCGCACAAUAUAUGCACUCUCAUACACUCUCCUAUAGAACUUCUUCAGAAUACAGAUAACGUUUUUCUUCUGGGGCGCUGUGUGUUUGAAACGCUAUUGCAUUGAGGACGUAGCAUUCAGUGGUGUGAAAUCUGGAUGUUAAUUCUAUAAGCUUCACUGUGAGCAUGAUUAAUUUGGAGAGCAAAUGUGACACCUCUCAUGGGAUGUCCUAAAGAGGAUGAACUCUAAAGCAGUCCUAGCAGUCCAGCUCUGGAAACCAGUUUCAGGUAGGUGCAAUUAAGUACUAAUUUUACCUUUUGUGGUUAUUCAGUUAAUAUUCUCCACACCUAACUGUGACCAUGAAUAACCCCCAGCCUCACCCACCAUUCGGAGAUUGACCAUAUAUCCCCAGCAGUUGUUACCUAGCCAUUGGGAUUCAAUGGCUGCUGAUUCAAUGUCUGCUGAUCGAGGCUGUAACCCUUGAAUUCCAGCUGGACAUCACUCCCAUUUCUCAGCCAGUAACUUAUGAACUAAACCAGCCUAGUUUACUAUUACCACUCAGCAAUGGUGGAA